Molecule: ribosomal RNA, 250 nt
Filed under: uncultured archaeon
Lineage: Archaea
Description: partial 16S ribosomal RNA
Rfam family: Archaeal small subunit ribosomal RNA
Source: RNAcentral
UAGCCGUAAACUGUGCUCGCUAGGUGUCAGGGACGGUGCGACCGUUUCUGGUGCCGCAGGGAAGCCGUGAAGCGAGCCACCUGGGAAGUACGGUCGCAAGGCUGAAACUUAAAGGAUUGGCGGGGGGAGCACCACAACGGGUGGAGCUUGCGGUUUAAUUGGAUUCAACGCCGGAAAUCUUACCGGGACCGACAGCAACAUGAAGGCCAGGCUGAAGACUUUGCCGGAUUAGCUGAGAGGUGGUGCAUGG